GUUCUCAUAGUUAAAAGUACACAACGAUGGCUUUUCA
This 37-nucleotide transfer RNA is filed under the name Prioniturus montanus. RNAcentral's name for it is "partial tRNA-Glu". Lineage: Eukaryota; Metazoa; Chordata; Aves; Psittaciformes; Psittacidae. The record is from RNAcentral.